CAAAGUCAUCCAGAGGCAGGGAAAUGGAAACACAAAUAUAGAAAUAGAUAUAGAAUGGCCUUGAGACAUCGGAUGUCCCUCUCACCUCGUAUCCUUUUCUGUGUUCAUAUACAGGUGGAAGAAAUAUCACUAUUUUGAAACUUCUUCUCCACCAUUUCUGUGGUCUCCUGGCACUCGAAACUUGGGAGCAAACGCAAGCGCAAGAGGAUGGAUUUCCUAUCUACCCUCAACCUAUGAAACGAGGUAAUUCAGGCACCAAUCAGUUUAUAGAUUAAAUCUAUUGAGAGAACUAGGUAAACAUUUGAAGGAGAUCCAAGUAUUGGGUAUUAAUUAUAAACACACAAUGACUUCAGCUGAGAAUGGAGAGUCCAACUAUGAAAUCCAAGAGGAUCUGGAGAGAGAAACAACAGGAACCAGAAUGAGGCUUAUGGAUUACAUCCCCAUCUACAUUCCAACAGUUGAAAAGGGACUCCUCAAUCAAAGCCGGCAUGAGAAAAGAUUUCUAGAUUUCCUAAGAGCCCAUCCAUCCAAAGAUUGGUUCAUUAGGUCUGGAUUUGUUGGUAGACUGUCUCCUUUCUCCUUCUUAAGGCGAAAUGGAAGUCCAGGAAAUGAGUCCUCUCCUUCUGAUCCAGCUCAUGGCAGCACCCGACGACGUUUCCGUGUGCCAUUCGUCAGAAAAAUUAACUGGGCAGCUUUGAUCGCAUACUUCAAGAACUGGGUAAAGAAUCCUGCGAACAUGGCUCUUCUUGUUUGGUUGAUCUUUGUUGCUGCAGGCCUCAUCAUGCUUGGUCUGCUCAUGCUUGGAAUACUAGAUGGAGCAAUACCAAGUAGCUCCCAAAGAAAGAGAUGGACCGAAGUCGUCAAUCAAAUACUAAAUGCACUCUUUACAAUUAUGUGUUUAUAUCAACAUCCAAAAUUGUUCCACCAGCUAGUUCUUCUGUUCAGGUGGAGAACGCCCGACAAGGUGGAGCUAAGGAGAGUCUACUGCAAGGAUGGAGCACAGCGACCUCACGAAAGGGCUCAUAUGACGCUAGUUGUGAUCCUCCUCCAUAUCACUUGCUUUGCUCAGUAUGUCUUGUGUGGUCUUUACUGGGGAUACACAAGAAAGACCCGACCGGACUGGGCUGAAAAUCUCUGCAUUGGUAUAGGAAUUGCAGCACCAGUUAUUGCUGGUGUGUAUACUGUUUUUAGCCCUUUAGGUCGAAGAUAUGAUGAGUCCGAAACCGAAGAAGAAUCGCAGCAUCAGGCAGCCACCACUACCCAACCAAAUGACACUGAGCUGAAGAUAUUUAACCGAAGGGUUGUGGUAACUAGUCCGGAGUGGAUUGGGGGACUAUUUGAUUGCUGGGAUGACCUCACUGUGUGUUAUCUUUCCUUCUUCUGUACCUUCUGUGUCUUUGGGUGGAAUAUGGAAAGGCUGGGGUUUGGCAAUAUGUAUGUUCAUAUGGUCACUUUUAUAUUACUCAUCAUUGCUCCUUUCUGGGUCUUUAAUGUUUCUGCCCUCAAUGUUGAUGAUGAUACUAUUAGAUACAUAGUGGCGAUAUCUGGCAUCGUGCUGUGUUUCUUUGGGCUACUCUAUGGAGGAUUUUGGAGGAUUCAGAUGAGGAAGAGGUACAAACUUCCAGCCAAUCCUUUCUGUUGUGGCUUUCCAUCAGUGACAGAUUGUAUGCAGUGGCUCUUCUGCUGGUCAUGCUCACUAGCUCAGGAGGUGAGGACAGGAAAUUUUUAUGAUAUUGAGGAUGAUAGCUUUUAUCAGAAGGUCACCGAUGAGGGCGGUCGGCCGGUCUUGGUUCCUUUGCCCCGGGAAGGAGGGUCCGGAAUGUUGAUCACAUCGAGCAUGGAUUACCCUCUUCGUAGCUACUCUUGCCCACCCAAAAUUGAGCCAGCUGAUCUACAAAUGUCUGGUGAUAUAUUGAAGAAUGGCAGUCAAGAUGGGAUUUCAAUUACCAUUGAGAGAUCAUCUACAUGUGGGAAGGAUUAUGCAAUGAGACCACCUCUUCCACCACUAAUUCAACUGGAAGACAGCUAGCUUCAGAAGAAAUAGUAGUAUUGGAAGCAAAUGGUUGCGCAAAAACAUCAAAGUUAGCUCCUAUUUGAGGAUUCUCGAACAGGACAGGUUCUUAGGACAGAACGUAGGGAUAAUCGCCUAUUUGCUCUCACUUGCCUCGAUGUACCCUUGUUUGUGCCUCCAGUUGUCUCUGCUGCAUCUACUACCUCCACAUCCCUCAAUCGCUGGCAUUCUUGCUUUGGUCAUGUCUCUUUUAGUUUUCUUCGUUCUUUGAUUUCUAACGGUCAAUUAUGAUCUGUCCACAAUGAUACUACUCAAUGUAUGUUUUGUCAAUUAUCAAAACAACCUGCUUUAUCUUUUAAUAACAGUGAUUCG
RNA transcript from Elaeis guineensis (African oil palm), 2383 nucleotides. RefSeq lists it as uncharacterized. NCBI's taxonomy places the organism in Eukaryota, Viridiplantae, Streptophyta, Magnoliopsida, Arecales, Arecaceae. The record is from RefSeq and is a predicted model, not a curated record.